CCUACGGGUGGCAGCAGUGGGGAAUAUUGGACAAUGGGGGGAACCCUGAUCCAGCGACGCCGCGUGAGUGAAGAAGUAUUUCGGUAUGUAAAGCUCUAUCAGCAGGGAAGAAAGACAUGACGGUCCCUGACUAAUAAGCCCCGGCUACCUACGUGCCAGGAGCCGCGGUAAUACGUAGGGGGCAAGCGUUAUCCGGAUUUACUGGGUGUAAAGGGAGCGUAGACGGCAGUGCAAGUCUGGAGUGAAAGGCGGGGGCUCAACCCCCGGACUGCUCUGGAAACUGGACGGCUGGAGUGCGGGAGAGGUAAGUGGAAUUCUUAGUGUAGCGGUGAAAUGCGUAGAUAUUAGGAGGAACACCAGUGGCGAAGGCGGCUUACUGGACCGUAACUGACGUUGAGGCUCGAAAGCGUGGGGAGCAAACAGGAUUAGAUACCCUAGUAGUC
RNAcentral lists this ribosomal RNA (443 nucleotides) under uncultured bacterium. RNAcentral's name for it is "partial 16S ribosomal RNA". It matches the Rfam family "Bacterial small subunit ribosomal RNA", at positions 338 to 795 of the family's 1533-position model. The record is from RNAcentral.